Molecule: long non-coding RNA, 1229 nt
Filed under: Calidris pugnax (ruff)
Lineage: Eukaryota; Metazoa; Chordata; Aves; Charadriiformes; Scolopacidae
Description: lncRNA (ENSCPUG00000008866.1)
Source: RNAcentral
AUGGUGCAAAAGUACAAGCCAGUGCCAAUGAACCUGGACAGUUGGCAAAUCACGUCCUUAACUCAGGUGUGGUUUAGAGGAGAGACAGCUUGCAGAGAACUGAAGAAGAUGGAAAAGAAGUGCCUGCUGAGAGUCGUGCCAUUUGUUGGGGACAGCCAGAGGAUGUUGACUCUACUGCCUUCCCUGCAGGAGUCUUCUGUGCAUUGAUGCUCACUGCAGCUGUGUCCGAUUUCCUGAAUGGUGUGCAAGCCUUCUAGGAAAGAAGUCUGACAGCCAUCAGAACUAGCACACCGUAGAAAGUGAACUAGAGAGCAGAAGAGCAAAGAAAUAAGCAGAAGAGAUCAAGAGCAUCAAUAACAUUCUGUAUCCACAGAAGUGAAAAAGGGAGAUGCUGAGGACUUUUGGAUCACAAGAUGUGUCCAAAGAGAUGUGGAAAAUGCUGACGUGAUCUGCUUCAUGAAAGAUCAUUAGAUGCGUGAAGCACUGAAGGUAUGAAAUCACCGACUUAGCAUCAAAAAAGAAGCCAUGGUACUGAAAAUUGCUCAUAAUAUAAAAGAAGUAAUAAUCUCACUGAACUGCAACUAAGAGGUCAGACAUGAGGCUAGGCUAGCUCCCGUGUAGUCAGUGGAGAACUGCUUAGCAGCAUUACAGAAUCUGGGGUGCAGUAUGGUCUUUCCUAGGAGACAUUGAUAUUUGGCCAACUGUAUUUCAUGUGGCCUUACUCUUGCAAGACUGAAUAAUUUCAUGAUGCCUCGGGCAUUUUCAUUAGAGACCAGGCCAAGUACUGUCCUCACUGUAUAACCAAUUUAUAAAUGUUUGUUUCCUGCUUUGUAAAUGGCACCUUCAUGUUUCUUUGCCAAACACACUGACUUUAACUGUAUUCAAUUAGUAAUGGAGAUGCAUGGAACAUUAAAGACUAGGAACUUUGGUGAUUUUAUGCACUAAUGUUUGGCAUUUCAUCAGCAAGCAAACGUUGGUUUCCUAUGGACAUAGCUACACACUGGUGGGGGCAGAACCAAAGUCAACAAACAUCUUAAUUACCCUGGGUACCAUAUCCGCAGGUAUCACAUUACAACCCAUGUACUUCAGAGAAAGCCGCAGUUUAGCUGCAUGAAGACCAGAGCCUUUGCAUCAACGAAGGUCAAAAGUCAAAGGAAAUGCCAGUAGAAGCAGUAGUCAGAGUAAAGGAGCUUAAUAAACCCUUCAACUUCUUGUUUACCCUUGAUUUC